Molecule: long non-coding RNA, 1085 nt
Filed under: Rattus norvegicus (Norway rat)
Lineage: Eukaryota; Metazoa; Chordata; Mammalia; Rodentia; Muridae
Description: long non-coding RNA NONRATT002001
Source: RNAcentral
CAAGUAGAUAAAUUUUACUUGGCCCUCUUUCUUCUCCCUCGGAUUGUAUAAUUAUAUGAGUCAUUACCAGGUAUUUUAUAGGAUAGGUGAUAAUUCUGUAUAGUAUGUAUUAAAAAUGAACCAUGGCUUUGAGACAUUAGACUAAAUAUGAGAGGUUGGCCUUUCCAUUCUUACUGUAUUUAAAGUUAAGUGUCUGAGACUUCUUACUCCUGCGUCAGAGCUCGUUUGAAGUGUUCACUGCUGCACUACUAGGAGGUCACCUUACCAUAUGCAGCGCAUUUUUGUUUUGCUCAAUAUGGUCUCAUUGAUUGAGUUAGGUGUCUUGUAUCUUACGGAUUCUAUCAACAAAGAGUACGUAUCACAGAAUUCAGGGCAAACAUAACAAAAAUAGAAGAAAUGAAAUGAAUAUACCAUGUAGGAGAAAUUGUAAUUCUUUACAUUUGCUUGAGAAAUACCACAGAUCCACAUUUUAGUGAAUUAAAUGUUGACCAAGAAAGUAGAGGCGGACUCUUCACAAAUGUGCAGUGGCUCUGCUGUGUCUCUCGCCUCUGAUAUGGAGGUGGGAAAAGCCCUUAGCUCCCACCCAACUCUCACACAUACCAUGGACGGUUAGAAAACAGGGUUCCUUCCAACUGUGGCACUGUCACCACAGCCAGGAGCGGAGCACGUGGAUGGGCUAGCCUGGGAACCUGAUCUUCCCUUCUGUGUCCUUCUGUUUCUGACAUGAGUCUCCAAUGUCAGUGUUUACUCAAUGUUUCUUAGUCCUACUUCCAAAUUGAUUUUUUGGGGUCGUUAAAUAUUUGGGUUUCCAACUGCAGAAAACUAUUGCAUAAAAAAUUAUGGAAAGAAAGUGGCUAUAUUUGAAAGGUUAUUUGUAAAUACCCAUUUUAAUAAAUGAAGUAACGAAAAAGUUAAUUGGCAAAUUUUGCCCCAAGAAAAUCUGUAUUUAAAAACGGAUGGGACAGUGUAUAAUGAUGUAGAAUUUGUAACCCACUCGGAGCUGAAGACAAAUUUGGUGUCUCUGUACCUUGUCCCAUCACUGCUUGGCUUUGGCCAUCGUUUGUACCCUCACUUUGAUUCUGCUC